This 68-nucleotide transfer RNA is filed under the name Endeis sp. JZ-2022. RNAcentral's name for it is "tRNA-Leu". Lineage: Eukaryota; Metazoa; Arthropoda; Pycnogonida; Pantopoda; Endeidae. The record is from RNAcentral.
AUUGAAGUGGCAGAAUUAAGUGCGUUAGUUUUAAGUGUUAAAUAUAGUAAUAUUAUUACUCUUUAGUA